This 72-nucleotide transfer RNA is filed under the name Camelus bactrianus (Bactrian camel). It matches the Rfam family "tRNA". From Rfam's summary of the family: Transfer RNA (tRNA) molecules are approximately 80 nucleotides in length. Their secondary structure includes four short double-helical elements and three loops (D, anti-codon, and T loops). Lineage: Eukaryota; Metazoa; Chordata; Mammalia; Artiodactyla; Camelidae. RNAcentral also lists the same sequence under 1 other name. The record is from Rfam by way of RNAcentral.
GAGGGUAUAGCUCAGUGGCAGAGCACAUGCUUAGCAUGCAUGAAGUCCUGGGUUCAAUCCCCACUACCUCCA